GGAAAAGCAAGGAAAAGGCAUGCUGUGCAUAGCCAGCGCAUUGCACCUGCACCGGUCUUCCCCUGCACAAAGGAGGAGCAGCUCAGCGAGCUUCGCCUGGGCCAUGGAAGGGAACAUCCACACGUCCGGAGCAACCCCAAACGAGUUAGCUGUGGAGGCUGGUUGUUUUCUGCUGUUUGUCUCAUCCUUCUGGAAAGAAGCAGGAGGAGACAGAGCUCAGAUUUGAUCCCGCUGUGCGUGAUGGUUAAUGCCAAGGGACAGAAGUGUGUGCUUAGGCAGGGGAGAAGCUAGGAAAGCUGAGCAUCGUAGAGGAACGAGAUUAAAACAGAGCUCAUUCUACACAGCAGUUCAGCACGUUGCAGGGAUUUAUCUUCCCUUCUACCAGUGUAGAAGCUACCAACACUACCAGCGUGUGUUGGGCUUGGUUGCUUGCAGAAGGAACAAGGUUACGUGUUGGUUUUACAGAGAACAGCCAUUAUGAUUUCUUGAUAGAUUUAAUCGAUAAUAGCAGAGGAGUGGCAAGAAAGGGCCCCGCCAAUGCCAGUAAGUUCCUACCCAGACCUAUGUGACAGACUGACAUGUGGAAAUCAGACCCUAUAGCCAGUAAGGAUAUGGAGCAGCUAUGUGUUUAUUGGUGACGCGCGUACACCCUGGUGCAAGGGGGAUCGUUCCACCUAACUUGCACCCCAUCAGGAGAAAUGGUGCUAUAGUUAUAGGUCAAACUAAUACAUAAUCAGUAGGUGACAGGAAUUCAGAUACAUCUUCAUUACAUUCCCGAGAGCCCAUUAGCAUGCAGUCCCUCCCCCCCUUGCGCGGGCGUAGUAGGUCGUGAUGAUGAAGGCUUGCAGUCUUCCUCACAAAGGCUCGUAGUCUUCCUCGCUGCAAACUUCUGACCCUGAAGGGGGGGCAUCCCCCAAACCAGUUUCAACUUGCCCUGUAGACAUCUAAUCACCUCCCUGCCAAAUGUUUUUUCGAGCUGCUCUCCAGCCCUUAUCUAUAUGGCCUUCAUCCUCCUUGCUAUUCCAGACCCAGUGUCUGUGAAAGUGCUUGGAACCCCUUGUUUUCUAACACUCUCUACCUAAACUAUCUCUAUUUGCCCCUUGUUUCUACUUUGUGAAGCUGCUUUCCCCUUUC
RNAcentral lists this long non-coding RNA (1134 nucleotides) under Gallus gallus (chicken). RNAcentral describes it as "lncRNA (ENSGALG00010000321.1)". The record is from RNAcentral. Lineage: Eukaryota; Metazoa; Chordata; Aves; Galliformes; Phasianidae.